GUCGUAACAAGGUCUCCGUUGGUGAACCAGCGGAGGGAUCAUUACCGAGUUUUCAACUCCCAAACCCUUUUGUGAACCUACCUAUCGUUGCUUCGGCGGACUCGCCCCAGCCCGGACGCGGACUGGACCAGCGGCCGCCGGGGACCCUCAAACUCUUGUAUUACCAGCAUGUUCUGAAUACGCCGCAAGGCAAAACAAAAUUAAAACUUUCAACAACGGAUCUCUUGGCUCUGGCAUCGAUGAAGAACGCAGCGAAACGCGAUAAGUAAUGUGAAUUGCAGAAUCCAGUGAAUCAUCGAAUCUUUGAACGCACAUUGCGCCCGCCAGCAUUCUGGCGGGCAUGCCUGUUCGAGCGUCAUUACAACACUCGACUUCCCGGGCCAGCCCGUGGAAGUCGGCAUUGGGGAUCGGCAGCACACCGCCGGCCCUGAAAUGGAGUGGCGGCCCGUCCGCGGCGACCUCUGCGUAGUAAUCCAACUCGCACCGGAACCCCGACGUGGCCACGCCGUAAAACACCCAACUUCUGAACGUUGACCUCGAAUCAGGUAGGACUACCCGCUGAACUUAAGCAUAUCA
This 576-nucleotide ribosomal RNA is filed under the name Beauveria cf. caledonica ARSEF 2251. RNAcentral describes it as "eukaryotic LSU rRNA". The stretch from base 205 to 358 matches the Rfam family "5.8S ribosomal RNA". Lineage: Eukaryota; Fungi; Ascomycota; Sordariomycetes; Hypocreales; Cordycipitaceae. The record is from RNAcentral.